Molecule: non-coding RNA, 75 nt
Organism: Rhamnusium bicolor
Lineage: Eukaryota; Metazoa; Arthropoda; Insecta; Coleoptera; Cerambycidae
Source: the annotation of a GenBank genome assembly
GGCUUCGUGGUUGAGUGGUAAAGACACUUGUUUCUAAUCCUGCAGUCCCGGGUUCGAUCCCCGGUCGAGAAGCUA